This 465-nucleotide ribosomal RNA is filed under the name uncultured bacterium. Its description in RNAcentral is "partial 16S ribosomal RNA". It matches the Rfam family "Bacterial small subunit ribosomal RNA", at positions 338 to 795 of the family's 1533-position model. The record is from RNAcentral.
CCUACGGGAGUCAGCAGUGGGGAAUAUUGCGCAAUGGGCGAAAGCCUGACGCAGCGACGCCGCGUGAGGGAUGAAGGUCUUCGGAUCGUAAACCUCUGUCAGCAGGGAAGCACGGUCACUGUGCUAAUCAGCAGUGAAUUGACGGUACCUGCAAAGGAAGCACCGGCUAACUCCGUGCCAGCAGCCGCGGUAAUACGGAGGGUGCGAGCGUUAAUCGGAAUUAAUGGGCGUAAAGCGCUCGUAGGCGGUAUGUCAAGUCAAGGGUGAAAUCCCCGGGCUCAACGUGGGAACUGCCUUUGAAACUGGCAAACUGGAGUGUGUGAGAGGAUAGUGGAAUUCAAGGUGUAGGAGUGAAAUCCGUAGAUAUCUGGAGGAACAUCAGUGGCGAAGGCGACUAUCUGGCACAUAACUGACGCUGAGGAGCGAAAGCGUGGGUAGCAAACAGGAUUAGAUACCCUGGUAGUC